This 331-nucleotide ribosomal RNA is filed under the name uncultured eukaryote. RNAcentral's name for it is "partial 18S ribosomal RNA". It matches the Rfam family "Eukaryotic small subunit ribosomal RNA", at positions 1470 to 1796 of the family's 1831-position model. The record is from RNAcentral.
CCCUUAGAUGUUCUGGGCCGCACGCGCGCUACACUGUUCGACGCAGCGAGUCUUAACCUUGACCGAAAGGUUUGGGUAAUCUUCAGCAAAGUCGAACGUGAUGGGGAUCGAUCAUUGCAAUUAUUGAUCGUGAACGAGGAAUUCCUAGUAAGUGCAAGUCAUCAGCUUGCGCUGAUUACGUCCCUGCCCUUUGUACAUACCGCCCGUCGCUACUACCGAUUGAAUGGUUUAGUGAGAUCUCUGGAUUGACGCUGGCUAGGGGGCGACCCUUGGCCAGACUGUUGAGAAACUGCUCAAACUUGAUCAUUUAGAGGAAGUAAAAGUCGUAACA